RNAcentral lists this non-coding RNA (110 nucleotides) under Platyophrya macrostoma. Lineage: Eukaryota; Ciliophora; Colpodea; Cyrtolophosidida; Platyophryidae. The record is from RNAcentral.
AUUAAAAAAAAGAAAAAAAAGAAUGUCACACAAAACUGAAAGAUCUCUGUGUGCGCCUGAACUAUUUUUCCACAACUUCAACUCUUUAUUUCAUUCGUGUUUCUAUCGAU